GCACGCCGGAGACUUUCAUGACUGACAACUGCGAUGCCAUGAGGAAAGCCCUAGCAGCAACCUGGCCUGGAGCUCGACAGUUCCUCUGCAUUUUUCAUUUUCUACAACAAGUAUGGAGGUGGCUAUUGGACUCGAGACACGAAAUCAAGAAAGAAGAUCGCCAGGAACUUAUGACUAUAGUGAAAAGCCUCGUAUAUUCAGCAACGAAGAACGAUUUAUUCACGUCAUGGGGAAAAUUCAAGGCUAAUCCUCUUUCGGAGAAGUAUCCUAACUUUAGAAGCUAUCUAGGCUCACUGAUGGAAAGGAGUGACGAGUGGGCGAUAACGUUCAGGGCAGGUGCGGUGCUACGUGGACAUCACACCAACAACUUCUGUGAGGCAACAAUGUGCAUCAUUAAGGAAGUCGUUCUUAAUAGAUGCAAGGCAUACAACGCAACGCAGCUGAUCAUUUUCAUGGCCGAAAUCUUUGACAGCUACAUGAAGAAGAGGCUGGUGGACGUUGCGCUUGGCAGACGGAGAGUGAAAUCAUUAAGCACGGCUACACUGCCUCUAGAAAUGG
Eriocheir sinensis (Chinese mitten crab) is the source of this 558-nucleotide long non-coding RNA. RefSeq lists it as uncharacterized. The record is from RefSeq and is a predicted model, not a curated record. The transcript is spliced from 3 exons. NCBI's taxonomy places the organism in Eukaryota, Metazoa, Arthropoda, Malacostraca, Decapoda, Varunidae.